RNAcentral lists this ribosomal RNA (501 nucleotides) under uncultured bacterium. RNAcentral describes it as "partial 16S ribosomal RNA". It matches the Rfam family "Bacterial small subunit ribosomal RNA", at positions 29 to 523 of the family's 1533-position model. The record is from RNAcentral.
AUUGAACGCUGGCGGCAUGCCUUACACAUGCAAGUCGAACGGCAGCACGGGUGCUUGCACCUGGUGGCGAGUGGCGAACGGGUGAGUAAUACAUCGGAACGUACCUUAUCGUGGGGGAUAACGCAGCGAAAGCUGUGCUAAUACCGCAUACGCCCUGAGGGGGAAAGCGGGGGAUCGCAAGACCUCGCGCGAUUAGAGCGGCCGAUGCCUGAUUAGCUAGUUGGUGGGGUAAAAGCCCACCAAGGCGACGAUCAGUAGCUGGUCUGAGAGGACGAUCAGCCACACUGGGACUAAGACACGGCCCAGACUCCUACGGGAGGCAGCAGUGGGGAAUUUUGGACAAUGGGGGCAACCCUGAUCCAGCAAUGCCGCGUGAGUGAAGAAGGCCUUCGGGUUGUAAAGCUCUUUUGUCAGGGAAGAAACACCGGCUCUAACACAGUCCGGGAAUGACGGUACCUGAAGAAUAAGCACCGGCUAACUACGUGCCAGCCGCCGCGGUAA